This 565-nucleotide small RNA is filed under the name Pongo abelii (Sumatran orangutan). RNAcentral's name for it is "processed transcript". The record is from RNAcentral. Lineage: Eukaryota; Metazoa; Chordata; Mammalia; Primates; Hominidae.
AGCAUGCUCUGCUCAGGCGGCAGCAGUGGCUUUUUGGAGGUGUCUCGGCCAUGACACACAUUUGACAUGCCCUCCCUCAACCUACUUAUAGACUAUUUUUCUUGCUCUGCAGCAUGGACCAAAGAGAAAUUCUGCAGAAGUUCCUGGAUGAGGCCCAAAGCAAGAAAAUUAACAAAGAGGAGUUUGCCAAUGAAUUUCUGAAGCUGAAAAGGCAAUCUACCAAGUACAAGGCAGAAAAAACCUAUCCUACAGCUGUGGCUGAGAAGCCCAAGAAUAUCAAGAAAAACAGAUAUAAGGAUAUUUUGCCCUAUGAUUAUAGCCGGGUAGAACUAUCCCUGAUAACCUCUGAUGAGGAUUCCAGCUACAUCAAUGCCAACUUCAUUAAGGGAGUUUAUGGACCCAAGGCUUAUAUUGCCACCCAGGGUCCUUUAUCUACAACCCUCCUGGACUUCUGGAGGAUGAUUUGGGAAUAUAGUGUCCUUAUCAUUGUUAUGGCAUGCAUGGAGUAUGAAAUGGGAAAGACUCCCAGGAAGUCUGUAAUUUAUAUAUCCUUUAACGUUUGUUU